UACGGAGGGUGCGAGCGUUACUCGGAUUUACUGGGCGUAAAGGGCGCGUAGGCGGUUUGGUAAGUCUGAUGUGAAAGCCCACGACUCAAUCGUGGAAGUGCAUUGGAUACUGCCAGGCUAGAGUACAGGAGGGGUGAGCGGAAUUCCAGGUGUAGAGGUGAAAUUCGUAGAUAUCUGGAGGAACAACGGCGGCGAAGGCGGCUCACUGGACUGUUACUGACGCUGAGGCGCGAAAGCGUGGGGAGCAAACGGG
Molecule: ribosomal RNA, 253 nt
Filed under: uncultured bacterium
Lineage: Bacteria
Description: partial 16S ribosomal RNA
Rfam family: Bacterial small subunit ribosomal RNA
Source: RNAcentral